Molecule: ribosomal RNA, 1372 nt
Filed under: uncultured prokaryote
Description: partial 16S ribosomal RNA
Rfam family: Bacterial small subunit ribosomal RNA
Source: RNAcentral
AUGAACGCUAGCGGCAGGCUUAACACAUGCAAGUCGAGGGGUAACAUUGAUGCUUGCAUCAGAUGACGACCGGCGCACGGGUGCGUAACGCGUAUACAAUCUGCCAUUAACUGGAGGAUACCCUUUAGAAAUGAAGAAUAACACUCCAUGGUAACAUAGACUCGCAUGAUUUUAUGUUUAAAUAUUUAUAGGUUAAUGAUGAGUAUGCGUCCUAUUAGCUAGAUGGUAAGGUAACGGCUUACCAUGGCAACGAUAGGUAGGGGCCCUGAGAGGGGGAUCCCCCACACUGGUACUGAGACACGGACCAGACUCCUACGGGAGGCAGCAGUGAGGAAUAUUGGGCAAUGGAGGCAACUCUGACCCAGCCAUGCCGCGUGCAGGAUGACUGCCCUAUGGGUUGUAAACUGCUUUUAUACAGGAAGAAACACUCCCUCGUGAGGGAGCUUGACGGUACUGUAAGAAUAAGGACCGGCUAACUCCGUGCCAGCAGCCGCGGUAAUACGGAGGGUCCGAGCGUUAUCCGGAAUCAUUGGGUUUAAAGGGUCCGCAGGCGGGAUUCUAAGUCAGUGGUGAAAUCUUGCAGCUCAACUGUAAAAUUGCCAUUGAUACCUGGAAUCCUUGAGUGUGGUUGAAGUAGACGGGAAUAUGUCAUGUAGCGGUGAAAUGCAUAGAUAUGACAUAGAACACCAAUUGCGUAGGCAGUUUACUAAACCAUUACUGACGCUCAUGGACGAAAGUGUGGGGAGCGAACAGGAUUAGAUACCCUGGUAGUCCACACCGUAAACUAUGAUCACUAGAUGUUGGCGAUAUACAGUCAGUGUCUUAGAGAAAUCGUUAAGUGAUCCACCUGGGGAGUACGUUCGCAAGAAUGAAAUUCAAAGGAAUUGACGGGGGCCCGCACAAGCGGUGGAGCAUGUGGUUUAAUUCGAUGAUACGCGAGGAACCUUACCAAGGCUUAAAUGUAAAACGACAGACUGGGAAACCAGUCCUUCUUCGGACAAUUUACAAGGUGCUGCAUGGUUGUCGUCAGCUCGUGCUGUGAGGUGUCGGGUUAAGUCCCAUAACGAGCGCAACCCCUAUCCUUAGUUGCCAGCGAGUAAUGUCGGGGACUCUAAGGAAACUGCCGGUGCAAACCGUGAGGAAGGUGGGGAUGACGUCAAAUCAUCACGGCCCUUACGUCCAGGGCUACACACGUGCUACAAUGGUAUAUACAAAGGGCAGCUACUUGGUGACAAGGUGCUAAUCUCGAAAGUCCGUCUCAGUUCGGAUCGAAGUCUGCAACUCGACUUCGUGAAGCUGGAAUCGCUAGUAAUCGCGUAUCAGCAAUGACGCGGUGAAUACUUCCCGGGCCUUGUACACACCGCCCGUCAAG